AGGUGCUCUGUUUUGGGGGUUGAAUUAUGCCACUGGAAAUUUUCUCCACAGCUAAUGAAACAUCACACCAGAGUCAGACUAUGAACCAUCACUCUUGCCAAAGUAUGAAAUUUGCCGUCUACUUGUUUGAAAGGAGUCAAAUGCUGGUCAGGAGGCUGGUCUUCACUGGCAAAGGAGAAAGAAGGAGGUAGUUAUUCAAAAGAUGAGCUAGAACUGGGCAUUAAUGAUUAAAAUGGGCAGCUUUCACACAGAGAUGACUUCCGAGAAGAUGCAUGGCUGAGAGAAGGGAAGGGGGUGGAUUAUAACUGGAAAGAGGAAUCAUCAGUGCGGUGCCUUCCUCCUCCGUCUCCUGGAUGUUCUCUCUCUGAGGUUGAAAAAAGGAGGAAAAAUUAAUCCUACAAUGUGAAAAGAGUGUGACAAGUUUGUGAACAAAUGGAAGAGGAUAUAAACAAAGAGAGAAUGAUAAAUGUAUUUG
RNAcentral lists this long non-coding RNA (475 nucleotides) under Equus asinus (donkey). RNAcentral's name for it is "lncRNA (ENSEASG00005031696.1)". The record is from RNAcentral. Lineage: Eukaryota; Metazoa; Chordata; Mammalia; Perissodactyla; Equidae.